CCGAUGACAACAAUUUGUUGAAUUAGACUACUUCUCAAGGCAGCUUCCUCAAUCUCUACCGGUUCAACGUUUUCCCCUUGUAAAAAAUGCCGACUUGCACAGCGUUAGGGAAAUGAAAUUACAUUCAGACACAUAGGAGUAGAUUUCAACAGAAAAUAAAGACACAUGUGUAUAAACUCAUAUGAUCGAGAUGUUUGGCAAGAUUCGAUUAAAUACAUGUCCCUCAACCUGGUAGUUUGGGCUCACUAGUUUUGUGACAAGAAACGUUUCUUUAGCGCAGUGUUUAAUUACAUAGUCCAUGGAACUGAAACUAGGAAGACAUUUCAAGUUGUUAGCUAGCGGAUCCAUGACAAUGUUGCAGAAGAAAAUUAAGCUUUUGGUAUACCUGUUAAAAGAACGAUAGUGUCCUUGGCACGUCCUUCAAGAACAACC
This 432-nucleotide long non-coding RNA is filed under the name Malus domestica (apple). RNAcentral's name for it is "long non-coding RNA (MDOM_LNC003516)". Lineage: Eukaryota; Viridiplantae; Streptophyta; Magnoliopsida; Rosales; Rosaceae. The record is from RNAcentral.